Molecule: unclassified non-coding RNA, 1560 nt
Filed under: Eurytemora carolleeae
Lineage: Eukaryota; Metazoa; Arthropoda; Copepoda; Calanoida; Temoridae
Description: 4-hydroxybenzoate polyprenyltransferase, mitochondrial
Source: RNAcentral
UCAUAUUAUUAUAUAUAUUUGUAUUUGCAUAGAAUUAUAGAGUUUAUAUUUUCAGAUGAAUUUAAUAUGUUGUUGAGACAGUCUGUUCUGAGAGCGGGAGGAGGUGGAUUUAAAAACGCCGGAUUAUUAAAUGGCGGACUGUUCCAAAAUGGAGAAUAUUACCAAAAUGGCGGACAAAUCCAAAAUGGCAGACAAUUCCAAAAUGGUGGUGGACAGUACAACAGAAUAUUUCAUAAACAUCCUCUGACGCUGGGAUUUAGGAACAAAGAUAAUUAUCAGAGUAUUGCAGUGAAUAGGUUAACAAAUAUCCCGGUUAAAAACAUUCAAAGGACGUUAAACCUUCAGGGAUUGAAUCCAAAUGCGUUAUCUGCGAGAUCAAAAGGAACUCUACCGUCCAGAUUAGUUGAAAGUUCUCCCUCUGGUCUUCAACCAUACCUCAAGCUAGCAAGAUUAGAUAAACCAGUAGGGACAUGGUUGUUGUUUUGGCCUUGUGGUUGGAGUAUAGGGUUAGCAGGGGUACCUGGAGCUAUACCAGAUCUCUCUCUACUAGCAGUAUUUGGUGCUGGAGCUCUAGUAAUGAGGGGAGCAGGAUGUACAAUCAAUGAUAUGUGGGAUAGGAAUAUAGAUCAACAUGUUGAGAGAACACGGAACAGACCAAUCACAUCAGGACAGAUUUCCUUGUUUGACGCUCUUGUGUUUCUAAGUGCUCAGCUGGGAGUCGGACUCCUGAUCCUACUGGAGUUGAACUGGUACAGCGUGCUCCUGGGGGCCUCCAGUAUGGGGUUGGUUGUCAUGUAUCCUCUAAUGAAAAGGAUUACUCACUAUCCUCAACUAAUCCUGGGACUUGCCUUCAACUGGGGAGCUUUGUUGGGAUGGUCAGCAGCUCAGGGUGCCUGUAACUGGAGUGUAUGUCUCUCCUUGUACUCUGCUGGGAUCUGCUGGACAAUGAUAUAUGAUACAAUAUAUGCACAUCAGGAUAAAUACGACGAUAUUAUUAUCGGAAUGAGAUCUACAGCUAUCAAGUUCGGUGAGCAGACUCCUAUCUGUCUAUCAUGUUUCGCCACAAUGAUGGGAAUGAGUUUAGUUUACUCCGGGAUGUUGUGUCAGCAGUCCUGGCCGUACUAUACCUCCGUAGCAGCAGUUCUAGCUCAUAUCUCCCAUCAGAUCUAUACUCUAGAUAUUAACGACGGAGAGGAUUGUGCAAAGAAGUUCCUGAGUAACCGAUGGGUUGGAUUAAUCCUGUUUCUAGGUUGUAUCGGAGGAACCUACUGUAAGGAGGAGGAGGUGGAGCCUACAGAUGUUACAACUAUCCUCCAAGAUGCAACCAAAUCCAAUUUUCUUAUUUAGUCAACGUCUUAUUUUAGUCUUCUACAUUUACAGUAUCUAAUAUCCAUACAGGACAAAUUGUUUUCGUUUGAAUACUAAAAGUCAUUAAUUCAUGUUUUGUUUAUUGUUAAAGAUAUAUAAAAAUACUGAUUUGUAGUCCGGAGAUAUGCCUCAUGUCUCUUAUUUCUUAAUAAUCGAUUUAUGAUUAAAUAUAAAUAAAUUUUAUUUGAUUAA